This 459-nucleotide ribosomal RNA is filed under the name uncultured bacterium. Its description in RNAcentral is "partial 16S ribosomal RNA". It matches the Rfam family "Bacterial small subunit ribosomal RNA", at positions 338 to 795 of the family's 1533-position model. The record is from RNAcentral.
CCUACGGGUGGCAGCAGGGAGGAAUAUUGGUCAAUGGUCGGGAGACUGAACCAGCCAAGCCGCGGGAGGGAUGAAGGUACAGAGGAGUGUAAACCUCUUUUGUCAGGGAACAAAGGCGGGGACGUGUCCCCGGAUGAGUGUACCUGAAGAAAAAGCAUCGGCUAACUCCGUGCCAGCAGCCGCGGUAAUACGGUGGAGUCGAGCGUUAUCCGGUUUUAGUGGGUUUAAAGGGUGCGCAGGCGGGCUGUUAAGUCAGCGGUCAAAGCCCGGGGCUCAACCCCGGCCCGCCGUUGAAACUGGCAGGCUCGAGUUGGGGUGAGGUAGGCGGAAUGCGCGGUGUAGCCGUGACAUGCAUAGAUAUCGCGCAGAACUCCGAUUGCGAAGGCAGCAUGCCGGCUCCACACUGACGCUGAGGCACGAAAGCGUGGGUAUCGAACAGGAUUAGAUACCCGAGUAGUC